Molecule: ribosomal RNA, 422 nt
Filed under: Cypridopsis vidua
Lineage: Eukaryota; Metazoa; Arthropoda; Ostracoda; Podocopida; Cyprididae
Description: SSU rRNA
Rfam family: Eukaryotic small subunit ribosomal RNA
Source: RNAcentral
AAAUCCGAUAACGAACGAGACUCUGGCCUGCUAAAUAAGGCGGCGGGUUCCCAACUCCGCUCCGCGGUUCGGGUCACGUGCGGUCUGCGUCUCUGGGGUUCGCUCCUUGGGCGUGGGCAGUCGGGGCUCGGCUCGGGCGGGGCCGCCCGUCCUUUGCGCUUCUCUUCUUAGAGGGACAAGGCAGCUUCAAGCUGCGUGAAAUGGGGCAAUAACAGGUCUGUGAUGCCCUUAGAUGUUCUGGGCCGCACACGCGCUACACUGAGGGUGGCAGCGUGUUUAUUUUCCUGACUCGAGACGAGUUGGGUAACCCUGUCAAUCACCCUCGUGCUGGGGAUUGAGGUUUGCAAUUUUCCUUCAUGAACGAGGAAUUCCCAGUAGGUGCGAGUCAUCAGCUCGCGCCGACUACGUCCCUGCCCUUUGUA